This is a long non-coding RNA of Gallus gallus (chicken), 3229 nucleotides long. Lineage: Eukaryota; Metazoa; Chordata; Aves; Galliformes; Phasianidae. The record is from Ensembl.
GGUCCCUCCCAUUGCCUUCCUUGCACUCCCACCAGCCAGCAGCCAGGCUCCGCCAGGAACUCAGAGCAGCACAGAGCAGAAAGACCCACUGCCAGCCCUGACCACGCAGCAGGGGCAGCUGAUUGGAAGAGGAAACGCGUUCUUAAAGGAGAAGUCUUUUGCUGCUUCUCAGGAUCUGGCUUCUGUGUAAAAUGACACACAAAGAAACUCUUGCAACACGUACACAGUGAGGAAUUUCGAUUGGGGAAGUACAGAUAAGUGGAGACAGCUCUGAACCAAGCUGGAAAAGCUGCAGAUCCUCAAGUGCAUGCCAUGAGAUGAGAGCAACAGGCAUGUACUAGGAGCUAGGGGAAGAAACAAAACUAACCACCACCCCUGAGGAGCUGAUGAACUCUGCUUAAACUUUUUAUUUGACGUAGAUAAUCUACAUGAUUUUAACACUUGACUUCUGAGGAGGGAGGGGAAGUGAAUGACUGCCAGCAUAGCGAAUGGACUCCUGUCAGAAAAGGGAGAAUCUGGAGUAACUGACCCUGAAUGGAAAAAAGAAACUGCAGUAUUUGAAAGGGGUGAAUUUAACUCAAAAAUAUCAAAACUCAGAGGAGCCAAAAGCUCUCCUUUUACAUCCUUACUACUGUCAUGCCUCUUAGAUCUAUUUUCAGUACUUCUCAUUCACAUCACAUGAGGAUAUAAAACGGUGGCAACGCACUUUAAUAAUCUUAAAUCUCAGAGGUGUUGAGAGCUGCUGUGAGCCCACAGCUCCACGUCUGAGCAGCAGCAGUGCUUGGUGCAGAGCUGGGAAUGCUCCUCUAUGGACUGCUUCCUGCUGCCAACCUGAAGAACAGUGAUCAGGGAUUACAACUUAUCAGACUGAGACAAACCUGCAUUUGAUUUACCGAGUAAAGCUUUCCAAUGCUUCUCAUCGAGGUCCUUUCAUCUCCUCCUGGCUCACAUACAGCCAAAUGCUGCUGAACCCGAGAGGCCUUUGUCAUCCUGUGCAGAAGAUGGGAAGCAGCACACCAAGGUUGCACAGAAUGCAGUGGUGCUGAGCAGGGCCACUGCGCAGGGGGCAAAUAUUGCCUGACCCAACCUGCACAGCUAGGAAAGAUGAAUAAAACAGGAAAAUAUGGGGCAGUUUACUAAAGGUUUAGUCUAGAGUUUGCCCAAGUAAGGCUGGCAACCUGAAACUGAUGUAAAAAUAGUGCCUUUUUUUUUUUUAAACAAAACCAGAGCCAAUCAAAACCACGUAACAGAUCCACUGAACUUCAGGUUGUUGCUGUGUUGCGUUGCAACAUUUUGAAACUUCCCAGAACAACGCUUUUGUCUGCAGGACGGAGCCAUUUGCGCAAGGCAGAGAUAUGUCCUGCUGCUGGGAGCUCCGUGCACACAGAGCUGCAGAGGUCAGUGCUCCUGGGCAGGCAGGAGCAAGGUGCUACACGUGUGUGCACAUACAGAGCAAAAUGCACGCGCUUAUUUAUUAAAUGGUACCACCAAACCCUUCAGCAAGAGAAAGCUGUGGUUGCAAACAUGUCAAAGCAAGGAAACAGAAAAAGUAGGCAGUGCAGCUCUUCGGGGAAGGGGGUAUGGAAGAUGGGGAGUCUGCAGACUGGAAUUUUCCUGGCUCUGAUGAUUCUAUGGUGGAGACAGGUGAAGCGAAACCUGAGUAGGGUAACUUUAGCCAGAGAGAGUGAGAUAGAAAUAAACAGUAUUAUUCCUGGAAAGAAGGGGUAGUAGCUGUCCCUCUGCCAAAGUGCACUCCAGUCCAGAGCCUAUUAGCGGCGGAUUCCUUCCUGCGCUCCACCUCCCAGUGCCAGGGCAACGGUCCCAGGUUUUGACGUCAAAGCUGCCUUUUGUUUGUUGCACAGACCUUCCCCUUGCAGGCCGAGCAGACUGCAGCGCGGAAGCAGCGAGGCAGAGGGCUCUGCUGUGCCCAGAGCUGCUCUCACCACAAGACUCCAAGGAUGGCCCUCUUCCCGCAGUACCAACUCCAGCCCUUCCAGUGGAAAGAAAAUAGAGUUCAAUAGCAAGAUCUGCCAAGCGAGGACUCUUUCCACACACAUGAGACAAGACUAUAAAUCUGCUUUGGAACCAACAGGUAUAUUUGGAGAAAAUCCUCAGAGAGACAGUGAGAAAAUCUCCCAGCACUCCAGGACAGGGCUCAGACACACAGGAUUUCAGAAUAGCAGGAAGAAUGAGGCCUCUUGUUAUUAGGAAAUGUCCACCCCUCUGAACCCGCCACAGUCAAACUGGUGGCUUCCCCAGGUGAGCUCACAAAGCCUUGGGCACAUAUAACCAUUCCUUAGCUUUCCCAGCCACAAGCUGCCCUGGGGCACAAUGGUGCUGCCAGGGCAGGCUUCUCCUGCUAAAGAGGCUCUUAAGGAUGCAGCAGGAGCAGUUGCUGCAAGAUUUUGCCACCUCUGAUAUAAAUUCAAUACUCUAUUAUAUCUCAUGGCUUCUUUGUUUAAAGGCCAAAGAAUUCAGGUAAAUGAAUAGAGGUCAAGAAGAAAUGGAAAAAUGUAGUCACAUAACACGCAAAAGAAAAACCAGGGCUGGUAAUCAGCUGCCUCGUGUUUCCGAGAGCAGAUGCCAGCCUUCUCACAUGCUCAGAGUUAAGAUCUGACCACUUUCACAAUGCUUCUCUUUGACAGCAGCAAACCUGACACUUGCUGAGCUAAUCCCCAGUGGUGCCCUCCUAUCCCCCUGCUGCCCAGACUGCCAGGCCCACCUCCCUCUUUUCCAGCAGUCCCAGACCCCUCCGCACACGGCUGGGCUGCAGGCUCCCCUCUUCUUCCCUUUUGAAAGUUUAAGGCUGGGGACUUUCCAUACCUUCCCUGUUUGCAGGAUUCUCAAACUGGUGCUUAAUCUCAUGAUUUUUGCAUGAGUACUGCUGCUGGCUUUAUGCGUCCGUAUCCGAGUGCAGAACAGGGCUGUUAUCUGCUGGGUGAGGCACAGGGCCAUCGCUGCUGGGAUGCAGCAUUCCUGGGCUAUCAGUAGGAAUGAGAUGAGCAGCAUAUGCUUCUGCUAGUGGAAAAAAAAAUAUGAAAAAAAAGACCUUUCCAUCAUCUUUGCUGUCAGAAGGGCAGACUCGAGGUCCUUCAUUCCUAGUAAAGCAUUAAUUUGUGAAGCAGAGAAUGCAAGCUACUUGCUCCCCAGCAGAGCCUGCUCACCCUAUGCCACACAGCAAGACAUGCUUCCCAAAGAACCAGCCUGUGUCCAGCUCCUGGGACACCCC